RNAcentral lists this ribosomal RNA (253 nucleotides) under uncultured bacterium. Its description in RNAcentral is "partial 16S ribosomal RNA". It matches the Rfam family "Bacterial small subunit ribosomal RNA", at positions 524 to 776 of the family's 1533-position model. RNAcentral also lists the same sequence under 1 other name. The record is from RNAcentral.
GACGGAGGAUGCAAGUGUUAUCCGGAAUCACUGGGCGUAAAGCGUCUGUAGGUGGUUCGAAAAGUCCACUGUUAAAAAUUGAGGCUUAACUUCAAAGAUGCCGUGGAAACUUUCAAACUAGAGUAUGGUAGGGGUAGAGGGAAUUUCCAGUGGAGCGGUGAAAUGCGUAGAUAUUGGAAAGACCACCGAUGGCGAAGGCACUCUACUGGGCCAUUACUGACACUGAGAGACGAAAGCUAGGGGAGCAAAUGGG